This 483-nucleotide ribosomal RNA is filed under the name uncultured bacterium. RNAcentral's name for it is "partial 16S ribosomal RNA". It matches the Rfam family "Bacterial small subunit ribosomal RNA", at positions 28 to 523 of the family's 1533-position model. The record is from RNAcentral.
GACGAACGCUGGCGGCGUGCUUAACACAUGCAAGUCGAACGAUGAUGCCCAGCUUGCUGGGUGGAUUAGUGGCGAACGGGUGAGUAACACGUGAGUAACCUGCCCCUGACUCUGGGAUAAGCGUUGGAAACGACGUCUAAUACUGGAUAUGACUGCCGGCCGCAUGGUCUGGUGGUGGAAAGAUUUUUUGGUUGGGGAUGGACUCGCGGCCUAUCAGCUUGUUGGUGAGGUAAUGGCUCACCAAGGCGACGACGGGUAGCCGGCCUGAGAGGGUGACGGGCCACGCUGGGACUGAGACACGGCCCAGACUCCUACGGGAGGCAGCAGUGGGGAAUAUUGCACAACGGGCGAAAGCCUGAUGCAGCAACGCCGCGUGAGGGAUGACGGCCUUCGGGUUGUAAACCUCUUUUAGUAGGGAAGAAGCGAAAGUGACGGUACCUGCAGAAAAAGCACCGGCUAACUACGUGCCAGCCGCCGCCGUAA